This 4935-nucleotide long non-coding RNA is filed under the name Sus scrofa (pig). RNAcentral's name for it is "lncRNA (ENSSSCG00005036783.1)". Lineage: Eukaryota; Metazoa; Chordata; Mammalia; Artiodactyla; Suidae. The record is from RNAcentral.
UUUCUCGACAGUGGCCAUUGCCAUGUCACCCACACCAGCAGCAGGAAGUCUAUGCAGUUGUCCCUUUAUCCCCUUCACAGAGAUGUUAUAAAGAUUUUUUGUUUCUGUGUUCAAAGACUGUUAUCUAGAAUAAACACAUCACCAGCAACUAGAUAAAAAGCCAGGCUGCCUCCCUCCACUGAGAUUCCUUUGUUUUAGAGAUAGUGGUUGAACAUGAAAAUAUUUGGGCCACCUGUUUUUUCUCCUUCCAUGCUUUAAAUUUUUGCUCUUCUGCUUUAAAUUCACCAAUAAAGAGGGAGCCUGCAAAAACCUAGGUCCCUACCCUCAACCCCAAUAAAAGCAGGACCCCAGGCUUAUACUCACUUUCUCUCUCCCUCCCCAUGGCCUCACCAGGUGUGCUGUGUGAUUUCCAGAUACUGUAAGUAACAAACUUUUAUUUUUUUCACAGCUUCCCGAUGGUUAUUGCUGAAGGGUGUCUUGCAGUCAUAUCACAAUAACAACCAUGCGGUCCAGUCCAAUCACAGCCUUAUUUAAAAGGCUGAGACCAGCACAAAACACCACUCCAUAUCCACAGGGCUCCUUUCCUCAUUUCGCUAUGGUCUCUGCCCAAAUAUCACCUCCUCUUACCCUGCUUUAUUUUUCUUCAGAGCAACAUCCACAACUGUUUGUUUGUUUUCUCUCCUCUCUCCUCCCCCUAUUUGAAUGUCAGUUCCACGAGAGCAGGGACUUUGGUUCACUGUUGUAGCCUCAACACCUAGAACAGCCCACCGCCUAGUAGUCACUCAGUUAAUCUUGAAUUGAUUUGUUGAAUGAAUUCCCUCUUGCCACCCUCCUGGUCUGAGGCACCAGCUUCCCAGCCCUGGACUCCUGAAGGAGUUUCCUAACUGUUUCAUUUGGCUCACCCCCUGCACAUACCAGCCAGGGGGAUCUUUCACAACUACCAAGUGAAUCCCAUCACUCCCCAGCUUUAAAGACUAGAGUGAGCAAAUAAUUUUGGUAAUUCCUUAAAUUGUGGUUUUGUGAAAAGUCACUUUCACUUGUAUGAGUCAUAGUGGAGGGCAGUUUGAUAUCUCUUAAAGUUAAUAACGUAUGCAGCUUUUGACCCAACAAUUCCACAUCUAGAAAUUUAUCCUUUAGAUAUGUUCCCUUUUUUAAUUUUAUUUUUAUUUUUUUGCUUUUUAGGGCCACACCCAUGGCAUAUGGAUGUUCCCAGGCUAGGGGUCGAAUCAGAACUACAGCUGCUGGCCCACACCUCAGCCACAGCAUCGUGGGAUCCUUAACCCACUGAGUGAGGCCAGGGAUCGAACCCACGACCUCAUGGUUCCUAGUCGGUGAGUGCCAUUUUUUAAUUCCAUUGUGUGUAUAUACCAUAUCUGUUUCAUCCAUUCAUCUCUUGAUGGACCCUUGGGUUGCUUCCACCUUUUGGCUACUGUGGAAUUUGUUUUUAGCCUUAGCAUGCAGUGGCUUGAGGUGGGAUCUCAGUUCUCAGACCAGGGAUUGAACCCUGGCUGCAGUGGUGAAAGCGCUGCAUCCUAACCACGACACCCCCAAGGAACUCCCCCGCCAUACUGUCUUUACAGCAGCUGCACCAUUGUGAAUUCCCACUCCUCCACAUAGAUUUUUACAUACAAAGACAGCUAGAUAUUUCAGGACACAACGGCUCUGACUGUAACAGUCAAAGAGUAGAAGCCACGUAAAGUCAACAAAGUUACUUAAGUUAACAGAAUCACAUAGCUCUACAUACACUGAUAAGGAACCAUCACCAGCACAUCCUGUGAAAUUAAGGAAGCAAAGCUCAAGGGAAUUAGGGGGUAACCUUACUCCUGGGGCCUGGCACCAGAGCGUCCUGCUGCAAGAUUGGUCCAUCCCUCUCCACAGGAGCCUGGGCUCCCUGGGGGCUGAAUGCCCCUAGCGGCUGGACUCAGGGCUGACCAUCUGUUCUGGGAUGUGAUGGAGAGUUCCUGCCAUUCUCUUUGGUCACCUGUGAUAGAAAGUCUUUCACAGCAGCCAUGCAUACUGUGGGCUCCAGAUCAAAGCUAAAGGUAAAAAGCCAAUGGCUAUAAUCGCUUGUGUGGCAAACCAACGUGCCUUUCAUCUAGAGGCUGCUGAGAACAAGGGACAUCAAUUAAAGAUAUUCAGGAGAAUCCGAUGGAGGUUGGUCUUGGCAUUCACCAGGAACCAUAGCAGAGGAUUUAGCAAAUCAGCCAGACCUAACCUGGCCUUGGGCAUGUUCACGGAAGCUAGGAUGCAGCAUGUGAAUUUCGGAGAAGACAUGAUUCUCCAAGUUCAUUGGCUUAGGACACAUGACCCCUCUUUGGAUCCUGUGGGUGGGGUGGGGUAGGUCUUAACACUGUAAAUAUGCAGAGAUGGGAAUAACACGACUUGGGUUACUGGAAUAACUGUAGGGGGUGAAGACCCCAGAUCUGUGAGCAGCCGCUGUAAAAGCAUUUGCUCAGAAACACUGCCAGGACUGAAGAAGCCUUGAGGAGCCAGUAUUGUCUGUGAAAGCUGCUCAUCAUUACUUCAUAAGGACAAAUCAGAAAGUAACUGAAGAACUGCCUUGAAUAAAUCUUUAGUCCGCUGUCUUAAAAAUAUUGUGCAGCAUAUUUGAAGAGGAUAGACAGAAAUGUGACUAGUAUAACCACGAAGCUUGUUAACUAGUGGGAUUUAAAGACUAGUGUGAGAAGCUGCUCUUCCCCAGAAUCGUAUUUUACUAAGAUAACCUGUACGUGACCGUAUUAGGAUUACAAGCUAAGUUGUUUCUGAGACCCCCCUGCCCAAAGGCAGUACAGAUCAACAUGCUGUUACCAGUUUCUUUUUCUUUUCUUUUUUUUUUUUUUUUUGGUCUUUUUGCCAUUUCUUGGGCCACUCCUGUGGCACAUGGAGAAGUAGCAAAAAGACAAAAAAAAAAAAAAAAAAAAAAAGAGAGAGAAAAUAAAAAUAAAAGAAGUAGAUGAAAAAUAUGAUGAGGAUAUUACAUGAGUAUCUUCUCACCAAAUACUGAUAACUCACAAAGGGAAACUAAUAUAACUCUCUGAUAGAAAAACCACCUUAACCGAAUGAUUUCCAGCAAUAAGGCAUCAGGUACAACCUCCCGUACCCCUUGAGAUGAUGCACGGAGAAAGGGACUGUUCUUCUCUGAUUUUCUUGCCCCAAAUAUAUAUUCUCAGCCUCAUUAUGAGAAAAUACCCGACAAAGUGAAACUGAGAGGUCACAGAUUGGAGGAGGCUAAGGAGACCUAAGAAUUAAAUGGAAUCUGGAUUCAUAGAUUGGAUCCCAGACCAGAGAAAGGACGUUGGUGGGGGACCCAGAAAGUCAGAAUAAAGUUUGUAGAUGAGUUAACAGUAUUGAAUCCAUGCCAAUUUCCUGAUUUCUUCCUGUUGCGCUCUGGUUAUAUGUCGACAUUUGGGGAACUGGAUGACAAGUAUUUAGGGACCUGACAACCCUUGCAAAUUUUCUGUGCGUCAAAGAUUUUUACAAAAUGCCAAGUUCAAAAAAUCAAAGAAGCUUAGUGGCUUAGGACAAUAGUUAUUUUAAACUAUUUCAAGAUUUUGUAAGUCAGGAAUUUGGGCAAAACUCAGCAAGAUAAUCCUUCUGUUCCAUGCGGCAGUGACUGGGGUCCGUUGGUGGUAUGCGGCUUGUAUCCAGGCUGGUUCUGAGCAUCCGAGAUGGUUCUAUUCAUGCCCUUGGCACUUGGACAGGGCUUGCUGGAAGGGUGGCUUCAGCUGGGGACCUUUCCUGUCUAUGUAAUCCCUGGGCUUCUCCAUGUGGCCUUUCCUGUAGGGUAGUCAGUCUUCUUACUGAGUGAGUCAGGGAUCUAAGAGCUAGAAUUCCAAGAUACAGAAGUAGGAGCUGUCCGUCCAUGUCUGAGUCAGUUUGGGGCUUAAACAACUGAAAUUUAUUUCUCACCGUUCUUGUAACAGAGAAGCACAAACCUGACUCCAUACUGGGUCUAUUCCUUUAGCUCUAAGCCUUGUGCUCUGCUGCCUGUGCUUAGUUAUGCUGACUCUGCACCUGUACAAAGAAUGUUGCCUAUGGCCUGAGAUACACAUGACAGUCCACUCUCAAGGCUCUGACCUUUAAAGAUAUAACCUGUCCCAUUCAUAUAGAGAUAAAAAGUUGCAGAGCAGAGAAUGACAAAAGUUUUGUUGAGGUUUAUAGGAACAUUAUGACCAGACUUUGGACAGCCUCAAGCACAAAGGAUUCCUGCACCAAGAAGACUGCAACCACCAGCCACACGCCCUCCCCCUUUUCAUACAAAAGAAGCCCGAAUUCAAACUCGGGUACAAUGGUUCUUUAGGACACUAGUCUACCAUCUUCUCAGUUUGCUGUUUUCUGGAUAACGUUGCUAUUCUUGACCUCCAAAACUCAUCUCUUGAUUUAUCGGCCUGUCAUGGGGCACGAAGUACAAGCCUGGACUCAGCAGCCCUCUGAAGGCGGGAGGUGGUUGAUCAGGGUACAAGCACUGUCAGGUCUGGGAGCACCACCUUCUGGGGUGCAGACUCCUGACUUCUGGAUGUAUCCAGACCUGGCAGAGAGCAGAAGGAGGAGGCGAGCUCUCUCAUGAGUCUUAUGAGGGCAUUCAUUUCAUCUAAUGCUAAUCACCUCCUCUAGUCUUAGUCACGGUCCAAAGGCCUCAUCUCCUAAUACCCUCACAUGGACGUGUGAAAUUUCAACAUAUGACUUUUGAGACAUAUAAACAUUUAGUCCGUGACUGUCUCUUGGGGUCUAGAGCUAGAAACUGGUAGCGUGGCACUUCGACCAUGUAAUAUCGGUCAGGGCAGUCACGGAGCCCGUCUACACUCAAAGCAAAGGGACAGAGACCUCAUUUCUCGGUGGUCAAAGGAUUUGUUCCCUUUUUUAGCCCAUCACACAUGGGCAAGAGAUAAGAGUAAGCAUAACCCUUGGUUCCUGGCCUGCUCUCAUUGUUGACCC